Molecule: long non-coding RNA, 935 nt
Organism: Eptesicus fuscus (big brown bat)
Lineage: Eukaryota; Metazoa; Chordata; Mammalia; Chiroptera; Vespertilionidae
Exons: 2
Source: RefSeq, a predicted model, not a curated record
CAGAUGGAAGGAGCAACUCGAGGGGCUGCAGAAGACGCCAAAGCGUGCAGGUCACCGGGGCCCUGGGGAGAGCAGGCUUUGAGUAGAAUGGAGUCAUCAUGAUGCUGAGCACCAGCUAGAUGCCAGGCCUCCAGGGACGCGAAGGUGCCGCGCUGGGUGGUUUCGGCAGGAACCCUGCGAUCGGACUGAAGGGUGCCGCCAGGAAGUGAGGACAGAGGACGAGCCCCGUGGGGCACGGAUGGCCGAGCCCAGGCGCCGGGCCCAGCGGGCCCACAGCAGCCUCUUGCAAGGACACAAAGCAGAGCGACCGAGGCAGCGAGGGAGAGGCUGAAUGGAGGAAACAAGGAAACCUCACGGACUCGCCAUUCCUCAUCAACUUCCAGACACUGGUUGGCUGCUGGCUUCCGAGGAGCACAGAGAGGGCGGCGGCCCCCCGAGGGGGCAGGCUGGAUGCACAGGUGCAGGGCCCGGGUGCCGACAUGCUUACUCCAUGAAGCAGCUCUGGUGGGACUGGUCAUGUCCGCAGGUGAGCGUGGUUGGAGAUGAAGAGGAGCUGACGGAGACUGUGAGGCUUCCCGCCCGGAGCCGGGAGCCCGGAGCCCACCAGAAAGGGGGGUCAGGGCAGGGUCCCUCUCCCCGAAAAUUUGGGACCCACGAAGGGAGUGGCCUCUGCUUCAUGCCGGGUGUCCAUGCCCUCAUGUCCGCCAUGGUGAGGGCAGGGGCAUGGGGCUGGUCUGCUGACUUCAUCUCCCAGAGCGGGGAGGGGCCCGAAGAGGAGAGUGUGACCCUGAUGGAAAGCCAGGCUGGACCUGGAGCGCCCUCUGGCAGCUGGAGAGUUACCUGCACCCCAGUCUCCCCUGCUACAUGGUGACCCUAACAGUCCCAACCCGCUUGCAUGCUGUGAGGUUUGAAUAAGGUCAAUUGUGCCAAAGGUU